AAUUUACUCGAGUAAAAUAAAUUGCUUAAUUACUAGCAAAAUUUCAAUAUUGCAUCGCUUGCUUUUACUGUCAAAUGAUGUUUAAUAAAUUUCCUCUCGAAAUUGAUUAAUAUGAUUUCAAGCUUACCAGAACGAGAAUCUUCGUGUCACAGCGAUAUUUAUAAUUUAACCAACGAGAACCGUAUGGCUUUAUGAGUACUUGAAGUUUAUCAAAAAAAAGAGUAAAGAAUAAGUUUCAUAUUAUAAUGCAGACAGAGCAGAACUGUAUUAUACGGAUGAACGGAUUUUGUCUGUCUGUUAAUUACAUUGAUUGUGAUGAAUUACAUAAUACAGGUUACAUAUUUGUCUUGAAAAGUUGUUCAAAAGUAAACAAAUUACUCUUGCCGGUAAAGUUAUUUCAUGAAACAAAAAAGUUGAAUCAGGAAAUUCCUCAUCAAAAUACUGAAAAAAGUUAUUGAAUUUCAACUCUGAUCACAUAUUUUAUCCAUACUUUAUUAUGAUUUCUUCUUAACCAUGAUUUAUAUUUGUUUGUGCAAGCAUCUCAAUUCUGUAGUUCAUUUUUCAUUCUGAUCCAACUAUAAGUUGAUUAGUUUUCGUCUUCGCUUUACACUCGACAUUAAACAACGUUAGUAGCUUUAAGUUUAAUUCAAGUUUCAGUGUUUGAAUCAGUUUCGAAUUAUUAUGUUGACAAUUUAACAUGCGGUUGUAAGAAUCUUAAGAAUCAAAAUCCUUUCAUGAUGAAAAAAAUUUAUGAGUUAAAAAGAAACGCAAAAAACGAAAAAAAUUGACAAAAGAUGAAAAUCUGUGAGCAAAAUCGGAAAUCCGGAAGAAGUACAUUGUAAUUAAAAGUUAAUGUUGACAAGCAAUGUAUCGCUUCAAGUUGGAUACCAAGCAAACACACACAAAGUAUUACAUGCACAUGAACACAGAUAUUAUAAUUAAAUUAUAUAUUAAAAUGUGUAUAAAAUCCAAGCAAAGGAAAAAGUAGGAAACCAGAAAAAAAACAACAGCGAUGAUUCCGUGGAGGUUGCUGGUGUGUGCACUUUUCGUUGCUGUCUUUUUGUUGUUUGUGCUCAAAAGCAAUGUUCAAAAGCUGAAAAGAAGAAGAAGAAGAAGCAAGAAAAGGAAAAGGCAGACAGACUGACAGACCAUUGGAUGUGAUCCAUCAUUAAGUCUCGUGGUAUCACGUACUUAUCAGAAAGGUUACUGACUAAAUACUGGGAUCCGGUCUCACAGGGUUGAUCAUUCAUGUUUCAAGUGUGACCUUAAUUAUGUCCAAUCAAGCUAUCAGAUAGUGAAAUUGCAAUGGAUCUACUAAUGGGUAAAAAGGUAAUGGUAAAACAUUGGAAGUCCCUUCAUUGUUAUUCAGUGAGCGAUAAUCAACUUAAUGAAGACAAAACAAAAGGAAAAGGGAAAAAAAGAAUUGGCGAAAGAAGCGAAAAAAGAAAUUAAGAAAAUGGAAGAAAGAAAUAACUCAAAGGAAUCAACUAUCAUCAACAAAGGCAGAUGGUUUAUGCAGUUAACGGACAUGGUUAUUUCAAGUUUGCCAAAAUAUUAUUCAACGCAAAACGGCACAAAAGAGGAAUCAA
Molecule: long non-coding RNA, 1589 nt
Organism: Tetranychus urticae (two-spotted spider mite)
Lineage: Eukaryota; Metazoa; Arthropoda; Arachnida; Trombidiformes; Tetranychidae
Source: RefSeq, a predicted model, not a curated record